GGGCUCCAGACCAGGCGGUCCACGGCGCUAGGGCUCUGGACCCGGAGGUCCGGGGUUCGAAUCCCCGCGGGCCCACCA
This 78-nucleotide transfer RNA is filed under the name Pyrodictium sp. RNAcentral describes it as "tRNA-Gln". The record is from RNAcentral. Lineage: Archaea; Thermoproteati; Thermoproteota; Thermoprotei; Desulfurococcales; Pyrodictiaceae.